UGCUCACUCCAAAGAAUUAAAAAUAUUGCUGUUCAAAAUUUUAUGCAUUUUCUACUUGUUCUUAUUUAUGUGAAGUGGGGUCUAAGAGUUAAUUGACUUAUUCUUCAGACAGCAAAUGUUCAUUUCUCUCUCUGGGUAUGUCUAGAACUGAGAUAAACUUGAUCAGGUCCAGGAACUGUCUUGCCAUUGCAGCAUAGUAAAUGAGAUGAAAUGCAGGAUGAUUGGGUGAUACAGAAAUGCAUACUAUUCCUGCCUGACAGUUUCUGGUAAUCAAGUUGCCUUAACAUUCUUACUAUAUCCUGUGUUCUAUAAUCCCAGAAGUGGACCUCACUUCCUUCUAUAGAUUGACUAGAGCAUGCAGCUGGGAGGUGCCACUUGAGCUCCCCCACUGGACACACACUAGACUUGUUGGCUCCUUCUAGUCAGCUUACGGGCUUCCAAAGCAACAAGGACAGGCAGUGAAGACCCUGUAGUGAGUCUGCCAUGGUCUUAGGUGAAACACCUUUUCAGGUUAAAAUAGUCUAAGAAAGUGUGGAUGGUCAAAUGGGAGCUGACCAGCAGAUCCCAAGGCACUAUCUACAAGGGUGCAAUCCAAUCAAUGUUUAAUUUCCCAAACUGGCCCAGUGAGAAGAUUUAUUUCAUUCUGUUUGUCCUGCAAACAAUAUUCAUUCUGAAGUUUUAGGCUUACACUUCUCUGGUGCCAGAUUUGGAGGGAAUCAGCAAUUUCACUGCCAUUGUGGCUAAAGAGGAACAAUAGUUUAAUACUAAGGAAUCCUGGUUUGGAUCUAAGCAGGAAUCCACGUAGCCAAGAUGUGCACCAUCGCCUUGAAAAUUGGAUACACAUACAGCAGAAUUUAAUCCAUACACAAAAUAGAUCAUCUGUGCCAAUGGAAUAAAAUGACCUCUCUCAAGUCUGGACUGUCACAACUGUGUCUUUUUUUAGAUUACAUAAGCAGUUUUUAGAAAUGGACUUGAAUCCAGGUGUAAGCAUCUAGAACUAAGAAUUUUCCAGAGUUCAGUCUACUGGCAUAUAUUAACAGGGCUUUGAUUCAGUCCUACCUUAACAUGCAAUAACUUUUAGAUUUGCAGCACAGUGGAUUGCAUGUACCAAAUACACCUGAAAGAAUAAUAUAGGCAACAAACUUUCCUCAGUUCAAUAUCCUUUUUGCUCCUUUUCUUUCAAGUGUAAAAAUGCAAUUGCCUGCAGACAGAAAGAAGCAGUCUUGACAAAGGAGUGCAUAUGUUCUAACAUUAGUCUUGAUUAAAAUAAAGCCUGCAACAUAUUUUAUGACUGUGUUUGUGUAACAUAUAACUUUCCAUAGGAGACGGUCCUAACCAUUACCUGUUUAUCUAUUUAAAGCAGGAUGCUCUGCUAUUCAUUACAUGCAAACGAUAUAUGAAUACGCUGACACAUUUAUUGUUAAGGUCAAUACAAUGAUAGGAUUUGAUCCUCUUUCUUUGUUGCUUGGGAAAGAAAAUCAAAUA
Molecule: long non-coding RNA, 1485 nt
Organism: Cygnus olor (mute swan)
Lineage: Eukaryota; Metazoa; Chordata; Aves; Anseriformes; Anatidae
Exons: 3
Source: RefSeq, a predicted model, not a curated record